This is a long non-coding RNA of Passer montanus (Eurasian tree sparrow), 604 nucleotides long. RefSeq lists it as uncharacterized. The transcript has 4 exons. The record is from RefSeq and is a predicted model, not a curated record. NCBI's taxonomy places the organism in Eukaryota, Metazoa, Chordata, Aves, Passeriformes, Passeridae.
UUCGGCAGCCUCAGCUUGCUGUGGAAACCAAAUAUUUUGACUCUGCUGUUUAUUCCCGGUUUUUAAAGUGUGUUCUGAGUGAAUAACAAAUAUGUUUUGUGAGGCAGCUGGUGCUUCUUCCUGUAACGUACAAGCUCAUCGUGCUCGGGGAGGAAAGGCUGCUGUGAAGAGGGGGUGAGCUGUGUAUCCCAACCUCUGCUCUAUCAACAGGACACAUCUCAAGCUCAGUCCCCAAGGCUGAGUCUGCUGCCAGUUCUGGAGCUGCCAACCCCCUCAUGGCAGAUUUCCUGGCUGGGGCUCCAGGAACACUGCUGUGGAGCAAUGGGCUGUAGGAAACGGUGACAUAUGGCACCCCAGCGUGUGGUGGUUUCAUCGACACAGGGGUGACAAAAGACCAUGGCAGGAACACCAACACCCAACUCGUCGUGCCAGACCUGGAGACAGAAACCUGGAAAAGUGCCAAACACGGAGGACACGAAGCACCAUGGACCAUGGGAAUGCAUCCAUCUCUAGGAAAGCACCCAGGGGAUGAUGGACACCCCUCAAAGCCUGCUUGGAUAAAAGGAAAAAAUGGUUUUCAUCCCUGUGCUGAGCCAGAGAGAAC